Molecule: long non-coding RNA, 450 nt
Organism: Papaver somniferum (opium poppy)
Lineage: Eukaryota; Viridiplantae; Streptophyta; Magnoliopsida; Ranunculales; Papaveraceae
Exons: 4
Source: RefSeq, a predicted model, not a curated record
CAUAAUGUCAAAUUUACCCUUUUCAAUAUAUACAAGAGAAAAAUCAUAAGAUCCAUUCAUUUCUUCAUUUUCUUUCUCUCUCAUCUCUCUCGCUCGGUUGCAGGUUGCAGAGAAAAAAGUUUCAGGGUUUGCUCUCUCUCUCAGACGAAGAAACAGGCCGAGAACACGAUUUCUAAUCGAAAUUUCCAGUUCAACAAUGGAACUAUGAAGAUCUUCAACAACAACAGAAAUAAAGAAGAUAACAACUAAUCGUCAUUCACAGAACAACUUUGGGUACUGGAAUCUGUACCUGGAGAUGUAAAUCCUGAAGAGAGUGAUGGAGAAGUUGAGAAGGUUUUCCAGACCUUGCAAAGUUUACCCUCAGAAAUCCCAUCAAGAAAGUGGCUUGUAGAUUACAUGAUGGAGCUUGGGUUCUUCAAAUCACUUUCCCAGUGGGUUGGCAAUAACCUU